CAGAACGAACGCUGGCGGCGCGUCUUAAGCAUGCAAGUCGAACGGCAAGAGGUAGCAAUACCUCCUAGAGUGGCGGACUGGUGAGUAACACGUGGGUGACAUACCCUUCAGAUGGGGAUAGCUAUUAGAAAUAGUAGAUAAUACCGAAUACGAGCACAGGGGUUAGAGAUCUGUGAGGAAAGGAGCUAAGGCUCCGCUGAAGGAAUGGCCUGCGGCCCAUUAGCUAGUUGGUGAGGUAAGAGCCCACCAAGGCGAUGAUGGGUAUCCGGCCUUAGAGGGUGAACGGACACAUUGGGACUGAGAUACGGCCCAGACUCCUACGGGAGGCAGCAGCUAAGAAUAUUCCGCAAUGGACGAAAGUCUGACGGAGCGACGCCGCGUGGAUGAAGAAGGCCGGAAGGUUGUAAAAUCCUUUUGAAACUGAAGAAUAAGCGUUGUAGGGAAUGACAGCGUGGUGACAGUAGGUUUUGAAUAAGCAACGGCUAAUUACGUGCCAGCAGCUGC
This 504-nucleotide ribosomal RNA is filed under the name uncultured bacterium. RNAcentral's name for it is "bacterial SSU rRNA". It matches the Rfam family "Bacterial small subunit ribosomal RNA", at positions 25 to 518 of the family's 1533-position model. The record is from RNAcentral.